CUAACGAUUGAUCUAGUUACUUAGAAUGAUGAAGAUUAUAAAUUAAGAAAGAUUUUUUUAAAUCAAGUAUCGAAAAAUAAUUAAUGUAGAAUAUAAAAUCAAGAUAUAUUGAGAAAUAAUGACAAAAUAUAGAAAGUCUUAACAAAAAUUAGUGCCAGCAGUUGCGGCUAAACUAUGAAGACAAACGUUAAUCGUUAAAGGCUUAAAGGAUCCGUAGUAUUCCACCUGAUAUUGGUGGUAAAGUUAAAAUAAAAGAAUAAAGAAAAAUUAUAAGGAUGGAUGAUAUCAACCGAGAAUAAUUAGACAAACGAAGUUGAAGAAAUUAUUCAAAUUUUAACUAAUAUUGAGGGAUGAAGGCAUGAGUAGCAAAACGGAUUAGAUACCCGAGUAGUUCAUGCAGUAAACAAUGAGUACUAAAAAAAAGUGAAGACAAAGUAUUCCGCCAGGUGAG
This 451-nucleotide ribosomal RNA is filed under the name Ambrosiozyma monospora. Its description in RNAcentral is "partial small subunit ribosomal RNA". The stretch from base 200 to 444 matches the Rfam family "Bacterial small subunit ribosomal RNA", at positions 557 to 873 of the family's 1533-position model. Lineage: Eukaryota; Fungi; Ascomycota; Pichiomycetes; Pichiales; Pichiaceae. The record is from RNAcentral.